This 1080-nucleotide ribosomal RNA is filed under the name Paralulworthia halima. RNAcentral's name for it is "SSU rRNA". It matches the Rfam family "Eukaryotic small subunit ribosomal RNA", at positions 73 to 1165 of the family's 1831-position model. The record is from RNAcentral. Lineage: Eukaryota; Fungi; Ascomycota; Sordariomycetes; Lulworthiales; Lulworthiaceae.
AUUAUACGGCGAAACUGCGAAUGGCUCAUUAAAUCAGUUAUCGUUUACUUGAUAGACCCAUACUACUUGGAUAACCGUGGUAAUUCUAGAGCUAAUACAUGCGAAAAACCGCGACUUCGGAAGCGGUGUAUUUAUUAGAUUAAAGACCAAUGCCCUUCGGGGCUGACUGGUGAUUCAUGAUAACUUCACGAAUCGCACGGCCUUGCGCCGGCGAUGGCUCAUUCAAAUUUCUGCCCUAUCAACUUUCGACUUUAGUGUAGUGGACUAAAGUGGUUGCAACGGGUAACGGAGGGUUAGGGCUCGACCCCGGAGAAGGAGCCUGAGAGACGGCUACUACAUCCAAGGAAGGCAGCAGGCGCGCAAAUUACCCAAUCCCGACUCGGGGAGGUAGUGACAAUAAAUACUGAUACAGGGCUCUUUUGGGUCUUGUAAUUGGAAUGAGUACAAUUUAAAUCUCUUAACGAGGAACAAUUGGAGGGCAAGUCUGGUGCCAGCAGCCGCGGUAAUUCCAGCUCCAAUAGCGUAUAUUAAAGUUGUUGUGGUUAAAAAGCUCGUAGUUGAACCUGGGCCUCGCGCAGACCGGUCCGCCUCACCGCGUGCACUGGUCCUGCCGGGGCUUUCACUAGGGGAUUCGCAUGUCCUUCACUGGGCGUGUGCGGAACCUGGACUUUUACUGUGAAAAAAUUAGAGUGUUCAAAGCAGGCCUAUGCUCGAAUACAUUAGCAUGGAAUAAUAGAAUAGGACGUGUGGUUCUAUUUUGUUGGUUAUGGGACCGCCGUAAUGAUUAAUAGGGACAGUCGGGGGCAUCAGUAUUCAAUAGUCAGAGGUGAAAUUCUUGGAUUUAUUGAAGACUAACUACUGCGAAAGCAUUUGCCAAGGAUGUUUUCAUUAAUCAGGAACGAAAGUUAGGGGAUCGAAGACGAUCAGAUACCGUCGUAGUCUUAACCAUAAACUAUGCCGACUAGGGAUCGGGCGAUGUUACUUUUUGACUCGCUCGGCACCUUACGAGAAAUCAAAGUCUGUGGGUUCCUGGGGGAGUAUGGUGGCAACGCUGAAACUUAAAGAAAUUGACGGAAGGGC